This 68-nucleotide transfer RNA is filed under the name marine eukaryotic metagenome. It matches the Rfam family "tRNA", at positions 5 to 66 of the family's 71-position model. Rfam says of the family: Transfer RNA (tRNA) molecules are approximately 80 nucleotides in length. Their secondary structure includes four short double-helical elements and three loops (D, anti-codon, and T loops). Further hydrogen bonds mediate the characteristic L-shaped molecular structure. tRNAs have two regions of fundamental functional importance: the anti-codon, which is responsible for specific mRNA codon recognition, and the 3' end, to which the tRNAs corresponding amino acid is attached (by aminoacyl-tRNA synthetases). tRNAs cope with the degeneracy of the genetic code in two manners: having more than one tRNA (with a specific anti-codon) for a particular amino acid; and 'wobble' base-pairing, i.e. permitting non-standard base-pairing at the 3rd anti-codon position. The record is from RNAcentral.
UCAUUAGCUCAGCUGGUAGAGCACCCGACUCUUAAUCGGUAGGUCACAGGUUCGAACCCUGUAUGGUC